CCUACGGGAGGCAGCAGUGAGGAAUAUUGGUCAAUGGACGAGAGUCUGAACCAGCCAAGCAGCGUGAAGGAUGACUGCCCUAUGGGUUGUAAACUUCUUUUAUAAAGGAAUAAAACGAGGCUCGAGUGCCUAUUUGCAUGUACUUUAUGAAUAAGGAUCGGCUAACUCCGUGCCAGCAGCCGCGGUAAUACGGAGGAUACGAGCGUUAUCCGGAUUUAUUUGGUUUAAAGGGAGCGUAGAGGGGUUGUUAAGUCAGUUGUGAAAGUUUGUGGCUUAACCUUAAAAUUGCAAUUGAUACUGGCAGUCUUGAGUACAGUUGAGGUAGGUGGAAUUCGUGGUGUAGCAGUGAAAUGCUUAGAUAUGACGAAGAACCCCGAUUGCGAAGGCAGCUUACUAAGCUGUAACUGACGUUGAUGCACGAAAGUGUGGGUAUCAAACAGGAUUAGAUACCCUAGUAGUC
This 460-nucleotide ribosomal RNA is filed under the name uncultured bacterium. RNAcentral describes it as "partial 16S ribosomal RNA". It matches the Rfam family "Bacterial small subunit ribosomal RNA", at positions 338 to 795 of the family's 1533-position model. The record is from RNAcentral.